This 817-nucleotide ribosomal RNA is filed under the name Magnibotryascoma mali. Its description in RNAcentral is "eukaryotic LSU rRNA". It matches the Rfam family "Eukaryotic large subunit ribosomal RNA", at positions 74 to 909 of the family's 3401-position model. Lineage: Eukaryota; Fungi; Ascomycota; Dothideomycetes; Pleosporales; Teichosporaceae. The record is from RNAcentral.
AUUGCCCUAGUAACGGCGAGUGAAGCGGCAACAGCUCAAAUUUGAAAUCUGGCUCCUUUGGUGCCCGAGUUGUAAUUUGCAGAGGGUGCUUUGGUGUUGGCUGUGGUCCAAGUUCCCUGGAACAGGACGUCACAGAGGGUGAGAACCCCGUACGUGGCCGCCAGUCUUCGCCGUGUAAAGCCCCUUCGACGAGUCGAGUUGUUUGGGAAUGCAGCUCUAAAUGGGAGGUAAAUUCCUUCUAAAGCUAAAUAUUGGCCAGAGACCGAUAGCGCACAAGUAGAGUGAUCGAAAGAUGAAAAGCACUUUGGAAAGAGAGUGAAAUAGCACGUGAAAUUGUUGAAAGGGAAGCGCUUGGAGCCAGACGUGCCCGUAGUUGCUCAGCCGGGGUUCUCCCCGGUGCACUCUUCUGCGGGCAGGCCAGCAUCAGUUUGGGCGGUUGGACAAAGGCCUGCUAAACGUACCUCCCCCCGGGGAGGACUUAUAGGGUAGGCGGCAUACGACCAGCCCGGACUGAGGACCGCGCAUCUGCUAGGAUGCUGGCGUAAUGGCUGUAAGCGGCCCGUCUUGAAACACGGACCAAGGAGUCUAACAUCUAUGCGAGUGUUUGGGUGUCAAGCCCGAGCGCGCAAUGAAAGUGAACGCAGGUGGGAGCCUCUCGGGGCGCACCAUCGACCGAUCCUGAUGUCUUCGGAAGGAUUUGAGUAAGAGCAUAGCUGUUGGGACCCGAAAGAUGGUGAACUAUGCCUGAAUAGGGUGAAGCCAGAGGAAACUCUGGUGGAGGCUCGCAGCGGUUCUGACGUGCAAAUCGAUCGUCAAA